AACGAACGCUGGCGGCAUGCCUAACACAUGCAAGUCGAACGAGACCUUCGGGUCUUGUGGCGCACGGGUGCGUCACGCGUGGGAACCUGCCCUUAGGUUUGGAAUAACUCUCCGACAGGGGUGCUAAUACCGGAUAAUGUCUUCGGACCAAAGAUUUAUCGCCCUUGGUUGGGCCCGCGUUGGAUUCGCUUGUUGGGAGGGUAAAAGCUUACCACGGCGACGAUUCAUAGCUGGGUUGAGAGGAUGGUCAGCCACACUUGGAGUGGGACACGGCCCAGACUCCUACGGGAGGCAGCAGAGCGGAAUAGAGGACAGUGGGCGGAGGCAUGAUGGAGCAAUGCCGGGUGAGCGAUGAAGGCCGGAGGGAAGUAAAGCGCAUGUACCCGGGAUGAUAAUGACAGUACCUGGAGAAUAAGCUCCGGCUAACUCCGUG
This 433-nucleotide ribosomal RNA is filed under the name uncultured bacterium. Its description in RNAcentral is "partial 16S ribosomal RNA". It matches the Rfam family "Bacterial small subunit ribosomal RNA", at positions 29 to 507 of the family's 1533-position model. The record is from RNAcentral.